This 1302-nucleotide long non-coding RNA is filed under the name Papio anubis (olive baboon). RNAcentral describes it as "lncRNA (ENSPANG00000047967.1)". The record is from RNAcentral. Lineage: Eukaryota; Metazoa; Chordata; Mammalia; Primates; Cercopithecidae.
AUGGCAAAGAUUUCUGUGGCUGGAUCAUGGGAUUUAUUGAGUGGAGCGAUUUCUCCUCAGGAGACCAGACACAUAGUUUUCAGAGCCCGGAACAACCACCAAAUCAGGAAUUCAAACUGCACCCUGGGAAGACUGGACUUCCUUUUGUUAAAAAGAAAAACGAAAGAUCUCUGAGAAAGCUUCUUAUGUCUCUUCCCUGACAUUUCACAAAAUAGAGAAAAAGGAAAAGAAAAAAAAUAUCCCUGAGGAAAGGCCAAGUAUAAAGAAGAAUUUGAUUUUGGCAUUGCUUUGAAAGAUUCCACUUACUUCGUCAACCCAUGGAAUGCUUAUUGUUGAACCAACACCGUAAGAAGGACAUGGCUUCAGCUUCAAUAAGACUGCACUGUAUGCAAAAAUAUUGAAUAAAUGGAUAAAUAAUAAUUAUUGAACUCCUAUUGUGUGCCAGAAAUGGUAGUGAGAAUUCUACAUGUGACUCAAAGAUCCUGACAAAGAUUUCAGAAAGUAAAUAUUUUUAUUAUCCCCGUUUUAUAGAUGAGAAAGCUGAGGCAGAAAUAGAUUGUGUAUCUUUUCCAAGGUUGACAUGAUAAGAAAGUAGCCAAGUGAGGAUUCAGUCCGAGCACUCUGAUUCCGGGGUUCAUCUGCUCGUGUGCUAUGUUCACUGACUCCUAGAGAAGAAAUUAGAAAUAACACCACCCUUACAUUAAACUUUCCAAAGAAUAUAAAAAGAGAGAACACUUUCCAACUCAUUUUAUGAGACCAGAAUAUCCUUCACUAAAAGCUGACAUGGAUAUAAUAAAAAAGGAAAAUUACAGACCAAUCUGUCUUGGGAAGGUAGAAGCAAAAAAAAAUGGUAUACCAAAAUACCAACAAAUUGGUUUCAGAGAAUUCAUAUAAACAAAUAAGAAAACGAUAACCCAAAGAAAAAUGAGAUUUCACAAAAGAAGAUAUCCCAAUGGUUUAAAAAAAAAAAAAAAAAGGGAAAAAGCCACAUAUUUUUUUAAGUGCUCAAUGUCAUUAGUCAUCAGGGAAAUGCAAAUUAAUGACACGACGUGUCCACCCGAAUGAUUACAAGUAAAAAGACUGACAAGACAAGGAGCUGGCAAGUAUAUAAAACAAGACGAACUCUUGGUACAGUCACUUUGGAGAAAAGUCUAGAAGUAUCUACCAUAGGUGAACACAUAAAAUGCCCUAUGAACCAUACAUUCAACUCCUAGGUUUUUACUCAGCAGAAAUUCACAUAUGUGCACCAAAAGACAUGUAUAAAAAUGUGUUUGUGACACUUUUAUUCGUAAGAGCCCAAAA